Molecule: ribosomal RNA, 274 nt
Filed under: uncultured bacterium
Lineage: Bacteria
Description: partial 16S ribosomal RNA
Rfam family: Bacterial small subunit ribosomal RNA
Source: RNAcentral
AUACGAAGGGGGCUAGCGUUGUUCGGAAUUACUGGGCGUAAAGCGCGCGUAGGCGGAUUGGUCAGUUAGGGGUGAAAUCCCAGGGCUUAACCCUGGAACUGCCUCUAAUACUGCCAGUCUUGAGUUCGGGAGAGGUGAGUGGAAUUCCUAGUGUAGAGGUGAAAUUCGUAGAUAUUAGGAAGAACACCAGUGGCGAAGGCGGCUCACUGGCCCGAUACUGACGCUGAGGCGCGAAAGCGUGGGGAGCAAACAGGAUUAGAAACCCGAGUAGUCC